AGAACGAACGCUGGCGGCAGGCUUAACACAUGCAAGUCGAACGGUUGUAGCAAUACAGCAGUGGCAGACGGGUGAGUAACACGUGGGAACCUUCCUAGGGGUACGGAACAACUCAGGGAAACUUGAGCUAAUACCGUAUACGUCCGUAAGGAGAAAGAAUUCAUCGCCCCUAGACGGGCCCGCGUAGGAUUAGGUAGUUGGUGAGGUAACGGCUCACCAAGCCUACGAUCCUUAGCUGAUCUGAGAGGAUGAUCAGCCACACUGGGACUGAGACACGGCCCAGACUCCUACGGGAGGCAGCAGUGGGGAA
RNAcentral lists this ribosomal RNA (310 nucleotides) under uncultured soil bacterium. RNAcentral describes it as "bacterial SSU rRNA". It matches the Rfam family "Bacterial small subunit ribosomal RNA", at positions 26 to 361 of the family's 1533-position model. The record is from RNAcentral.